GAAAACAAUCUUUGGGUAAUUGGGAUUUGAGAAGAAUGGUGUAGCUUUCUGGAUCUUGUGCCAUUGUGGACAAGCGUUGCCAUGGGAAAGACUGUUUGGUCAACCCCAUCUGCAAGCAGUAAUUACUGGCCUUUCCCAUACAACACACCACACACCUGCAAGGAUGUGAAGAAAAAAAUACAUAAUUAAAGAAUUUUU
This is a long non-coding RNA of Phyllostomus discolor (pale spear-nosed bat), 198 nucleotides long. RefSeq lists it as uncharacterized. NCBI's taxonomy places the organism in Eukaryota, Metazoa, Chordata, Mammalia, Chiroptera, Phyllostomidae. The transcript has 2 exons. The record is from RefSeq and is a predicted model, not a curated record.